CCCCAGUGCUGGGCAACGGCGCUGGAGUCUGCCCCCUAGCGCCCCGGCGCUGGAAAAAGCACUAGAAGUAGCGCCCCGGCGCUGGCCCAAAAACAUGACAUUUUCUGCUCCGACGUCCUUUGGGAAAAUGGCCAUAACUUCUUCGUCCGAACUCCGAUUUCGAUGAUUCAAGAUGUUCCGGAAAGAGGAGAAGUAGAUCUACAACUUUCAUUCUUUGAGGUCUUCGAAAUAAUGUCAGGAGAUAUAGUCAAAUUGGCUCUGAAGUGACUGCUGUGUAAAUGGCAAGCCGAAAACGCGAAUCUAGCCACCCCAAACGUCGAUCCAUGUAACUUUUGUCCCAAUUCCUAUAAAAUAACAUAAAACAUGCAUGAAUAAACACAAACACAUAAAAACAUCCUAAAAGACUUAAGAACAACAAUAAAUUAAGCCCGAAUGUAUCCAAUUCAUGGGUAUAAAACUCACUCAUCAAAUACCCCCAAACUUAAAUCUUUGCUUGUCCUCAAGCAAAAACACAAAAAUN
RNAcentral lists this long non-coding RNA (520 nucleotides) under Panax ginseng (ginseng). RNAcentral describes it as "long non-coding RNA (PGIN_LNC004319)". Lineage: Eukaryota; Viridiplantae; Streptophyta; Magnoliopsida; Apiales; Araliaceae. The record is from RNAcentral.